This 497-nucleotide ribosomal RNA is filed under the name uncultured bacterium. RNAcentral describes it as "partial 16S ribosomal RNA". It matches the Rfam family "Bacterial small subunit ribosomal RNA", at positions 28 to 507 of the family's 1533-position model. The record is from RNAcentral.
GAUGAACGCUGGCGGCGUGCCUAAUACAUGCAAGUCGAGCGAACGGACGAGAAGCUUGCUUCUCUGAUGUUAGCGGCGGACGGGUGAGAAACACGUGGAUAACCUACCUAUAAGACUGGGAUAACUUCGGGAAACCGGAGCUAAUACCGGAUAAUAUUUUGAACCGCAUGGUUCAAAAGUGAAAGACGGUCUUGCUGUCACUUAUAGAUGGAUCCGCGCUGCAUUAGCUAGUUGGUAAGGUAACGGCUUACCAAGGCAACGAUGCAUAGCCGACCUGAGAGGGUGAUCGGCCACACUGGAACUGAGACACGGUCCAGACUCCUACGGGAGGCAGCAGUAGGGAAUCUGCCGCAAUGGGCGAAAGCCUGACGGAGCAACGCCGCGUGAGUGAUGAAGGUCUUCGGAUCGUAAAACUCUGUUAUUAGGGAAGAACAUAUGUGUAAGUAACUGUGCACAUCUUGACGGUACCUAAUCAGAAAGCCACGGCUAACUACGUG